RNAcentral lists this transfer RNA (72 nucleotides) under Hannaella oryzae. RNAcentral's name for it is "tRNA-Phe". It matches the Rfam family "tRNA". From Rfam's summary of the family: Transfer RNA (tRNA) molecules are approximately 80 nucleotides in length. Their secondary structure includes four short double-helical elements and three loops (D, anti-codon, and T loops). Further hydrogen bonds mediate the characteristic L-shaped molecular structure. tRNAs have two regions of fundamental functional importance: the anti-codon, which is responsible for specific mRNA codon recognition, and the 3' end, to which the tRNAs corresponding amino acid is attached (by aminoacyl-tRNA synthetases). tRNAs cope with the degeneracy of the genetic code in two manners: having more than one tRNA (with a specific anti-codon) for a particular amino acid; and 'wobble' base-pairing, i.e. permitting non-standard base-pairing at the 3rd anti-codon position. Lineage: Eukaryota; Fungi; Basidiomycota; Tremellomycetes; Tremellales; Bulleribasidiaceae. The record is from RNAcentral.
GCUUCGAUAGCUCAACUGGUAGAGCACAGAACUGAAGAUUCUGGGGCCUUGGUUCAAGUCCAGGUCAAAGCA